This is a long non-coding RNA of Sapajus apella (tufted capuchin), 97 nucleotides long. RefSeq lists it as uncharacterized. The transcript is spliced from 3 exons. The record is from RefSeq and is a predicted model, not a curated record. NCBI's taxonomy places the organism in Eukaryota, Metazoa, Chordata, Mammalia, Primates, Cebidae.
GAUGGAACAUUCCCGCCUUCUCCAAAGCUCCCUAGUGUGAAGUAGAGAAAAGACCACCCCUUGUGAGCUCAAGGCUGCAGCCUAUUCUGAGUGACUU